RNAcentral lists this ribosomal RNA (301 nucleotides) under uncultured bacterium. RNAcentral's name for it is "partial 16S ribosomal RNA". It matches the Rfam family "Bacterial small subunit ribosomal RNA", at positions 512 to 808 of the family's 1533-position model. The record is from RNAcentral.
CAUAGCCGCGGGAAUACGUAGGGUGCAAGCGUUAAUCGGAAUUACUGGGCGUAAAGCGUGCGCAGGCGGUUAUAUAAGACAGAUGUGAAAUCCCCGGGCUCAACCUGGGAACUGCAUUUGUGACUGUAUAGCUAGAGUACGGCAGAGGGGGAUGGAAUUCCGCGUGUAGCAGUGAAAUGCGUAGAUAUGCGGAGGAACACCGAUGGCGAAGGCAAUCCCCUGGGCCUGUACUGACGCUCAUGCACGAAAGCGUGGGGAGCAAACAGGAUUAGAUACCCCUGUAGUCCCUGUCUCUUAUACC